RNAcentral lists this ribosomal RNA (467 nucleotides) under uncultured bacterium. RNAcentral describes it as "partial 16S ribosomal RNA". It matches the Rfam family "Bacterial small subunit ribosomal RNA", at positions 28 to 507 of the family's 1533-position model. The record is from RNAcentral.
GAAGAACGCUGGCGGCGUGCUUAACACAUGCGAGUCGAACGGAAAGGCCCUGCUUUUGUGGGGUGCUCGAGUGGCGAACGGGUGAGUAACACGUGAGUAACCUGCCCUUGACUUUGGGAUAACUUCAGGAAACUGGGGCUAAUACCGGAUAGGAGCUCCUGCUGCAUGGUGGGGGUUGGAAAGUUUCGGCGGUUGGGGAUGGACUCGCGGCUUAUCAGCUUGUUGGUGGGUAGUGGCUUACCAAGGCUUUGACGGGUAGCCGGCCUGAGAGGGUGACCGGCCACAUUGGGACUGAGAUACGGCCCAGACUCCUACGGGAGGCAGCAGUGGGGAAUAUUGCACAAUGGGCGGAAGCCUGAUGCAGCAACGCCGCGUGCGGGAUGACGGCCUUCGGGUUGUAAACCGCUUUCGCCUGUGACGAAGCGUGAGUGACGGUAAUGGGUAAAGAAGCACCGGCUAACUACGUG